UACGUAGGCAGCAAACGUUGUUCGGAGUUACUGGGCGUAAAGAGUACGUAGGCGGUUUGCCAAGUUUGGUGUGAAAUCUCCUGGCUUAACUGGGAGGGGGCGCCGAAUACUGGCGGGCUUGAGUAUUGGAGAGGAAAGCGGAAUUCCUGGUGUAGCGGUGAAAUGCGUAGAUAUCAGGAGGAACACCGGUGGUGUAGACGGCUUUCUGGACAAUCACUGACGCUGAGGUACGAAAGCGUGGGUAGCAAACAGG
RNAcentral lists this ribosomal RNA (253 nucleotides) under uncultured bacterium. Its description in RNAcentral is "partial 16S ribosomal RNA". It matches the Rfam family "Bacterial small subunit ribosomal RNA", at positions 524 to 776 of the family's 1533-position model. The record is from RNAcentral.